GACGGAGGGUGCUAGCGUUGUUCGGAAUUAUUGGGCGUAAAGAGCUCGUAGGCGGCUUGUCGCGUCGGAUGUGAAAGCCCGGGGCUUAACUCCGGGUCUGCAUUCGAUACGGGCAGGCUAGAGUUCGGUAGGGGAGAUCGGAAUUCCUGGUGUAGCGGUGAAAUGCGCAGAUAUCAGGAGGAACACCGGUGGCGAAGGCGGAUCUCUGGGCCGGUACUGACGCUGAGGAGCGAAAGCGUGGGGAGCGAACAGG
Molecule: ribosomal RNA, 253 nt
Filed under: uncultured bacterium
Lineage: Bacteria
Description: partial 16S ribosomal RNA
Rfam family: Bacterial small subunit ribosomal RNA
Source: RNAcentral